ACAGCAAAACGUUCUGCCGCUCCGCUGGUUUUUCCUUCGGGGAGGAAAGUCCGGGCAGCACAGGGCAUCCUGCUUCCUAACGGGAAGGCGCCACUCCGGAUGGGCGACAGCAAGUGCCACAGAAAAUAAACCGCCGCAGCAAUGCCGGUAAGGGUGAAAAUGUGCGGUAAGAGCGCACGGCCUGGCAUGGCAACAUGCCUUGCGGUAAACCUCAGGAGCUGAAAGGCCAAAUAGGUUCCGGCAAUUACAGGAAGCGGCCCGCUUCCGUUACUGGCAGCAGUAACGCCGGAACGGGUAGGCUGAUUGAGGUGAUGGGCAACCAUCAUCCCAGAUAAAUGGCAGAAACCCGGGAAACCGGGCACAGAACCCGGCUUACAGGUUUGCAUCC
RNAcentral lists this RNase P RNA (388 nucleotides) under Mucilaginibacter arboris. Its description in RNAcentral is "Bacterial RNase P class A". It matches the Rfam family "Bacterial RNase P class A". From Rfam's summary of the family: Ribonuclease P (RNase P) is a ubiquitous endoribonuclease, found in archaea, bacteria and eukarya as well as chloroplasts and mitochondria. Its best characterised activity is the generation of mature 5'-ends of tRNAs by cleaving the 5'-leader elements of precursor-tRNAs. Cellular RNase Ps are ribonucleoproteins. The record is from Rfam by way of RNAcentral. Lineage: Bacteria; Pseudomonadati; Bacteroidota; Sphingobacteriia; Sphingobacteriales; Sphingobacteriaceae.